AACGAACGUUAGCGGCGCGCCUAACACAUGCAAGUCGAGCGAGAAAGGGCUUCGGCCCGGUAAAGCGGCGCACGGGUGCGUAACGCGUGGGAAUCUGCCCUUGGGUUCGGAAUAACAGUUAGAAAUGACUGCUAAUACCGAAUGAUGUCUUCGGACCAAAGAUUUAUCGCCCAAGGAUGAGCCCGCGUCGGAUUAGCUGGUUGGUGAGGUAAAGGCUCACCAAGGCGACGAUCCGUAGCUGGUCUGAGAGGAUGAUCAGCCACACUGGGACUGAGACACGGCCCAGACUCCUACGGGAGGCAGCAGUGGGGAAUAUUGGACAAUGGGCGAAAGCCUGAUCCAGCAAUGCCGCGUGAGUGAUGAAGGCCUUAGGGUUGUAAAGCUCUUUUACCCGGGAUGAUAAUGACAGUACCGGGAGAAUAAGCCCCGGCUAACUCCGUGCCAGCAGCCGCGGUAAU
RNAcentral lists this ribosomal RNA (458 nucleotides) under uncultured bacterium. Its description in RNAcentral is "bacterial SSU rRNA". It matches the Rfam family "Bacterial small subunit ribosomal RNA", at positions 29 to 524 of the family's 1533-position model. The record is from RNAcentral.